RNAcentral lists this ribosomal RNA (2923 nucleotides) under Klebsiella pneumoniae. RNAcentral's name for it is "23S ribosomal RNA". It matches the Rfam family "Bacterial large subunit ribosomal RNA". The record is from RNAcentral. Lineage: Bacteria; Pseudomonadati; Pseudomonadota; Gammaproteobacteria; Enterobacterales; Enterobacteriaceae.
GGGUUGUGAGGUUAAGCGACUAAGCGUACACGGUGGAUGCCCUGGCAGUCAGAGGCGAUGAAGGACGUGCUAAUCUGCGAAAAGCGUCGGUAAGGUGAUAUGAACCGUUAUAACCGGCGAUGUCCGAAUGGGGAAACCCAGUGCAAUUCGUUGCACUAUCGUUAACUGAAUACAUAGGUUAACGAGGCGAACCGGGGGAACUGAAACAUCUAAGUACCCCGAGGAAAAGAAAUCAACCGAGAUUCCCCCAGUAGCGGCGAGCGAACGGGGAGCAGCCCAGAGUCUGAAUCAGCUUGUGUGUUAGUGGAACGGUCUGGAAAGUCCGACGGUACAGGGUGAUAGUCCCGUACACCAAAAUGCACAGGUUGUGAACUCGAAGAGUAGGGCGGGACACGUGGUAUCCUGUCUGAAUAUGGGGGGACCAUCCUCCAAGGCUAAAUACUCCUGACUGACCGAUAGUGAACCAGUACCGUGAGGGAAAGGCGAAAAGAACCCCGGCGAGGGGAGUGAAAAAGAACCUGAAACCGUGUACGUACAAGCAGUGGGAGCACCUUCGGGUGUGACUGCGUACCUUUUGUAUAAUGGGUCAGCGACUUAUAUUCUGUAGCAAGGUUAACCGUAUAGGGGAGCCGCAGGGAAACCGAGUCUUAACUGGGCGUUAAGUUGCAGGGUAUAGACCCGAAACCCGGUGAUCUAGCCAUGGGCAGGUUGAAGGUUGGGUAACACUAACUGGAGGACCGAACCGACUAAUGUUGAAAAAUUAGCGGAUGACUUGUGGCUGGGGGUGAAAGGCCAAUCAAACCGGGAGAUAGCUGGUUCUCCCCGAAAGCUAUUUAGGUAGCGCCUCGUGAACUCAUCUUCGGGGGUAGAGCACUGUUUCGGCUAGGGGGUCAUCCCGACUUACCAACCCGAUGCAAACUACGAAUACCGAAGAAUGUUAUCACGGGAGACACACGGCGGGUGCUAACGUCCGUCGUGAAGAGGGAAACAACCCAGACCGCCAGCUAAGGUCCCAAAGUCAUGGUUAAGUGGGAAACGAUGUGGGAAGGCACAGACAGCCAGGAUGUUGGCUUAGAAGCAGCCAUCAUUUAAAGAAAGCGUAAUAGCUCACUGGUCGAGUCGGCCUGCGCGGAAGAUGUAACGGGGCUAAACCAUGCACCGAAGCUGCGGCAGCGACACUAUGUGUUGUUGGGUAGGGGAGCGUUCUGUAAGCCUGCGAAGGUGACCUGUGAGGGUUGCUGGAGGUAUCAGAAGUGCGAAUGCUGACAUAAGUAACGAUAAAGCGGGUGAAAAGCCCGCUCGCCGGAAGACCAAGGGUUCCUGUCCAACGUUAAUCGGGGCAGGGUGAGUCGACCCCUAAGGCGAGGCCGAAAGGCGUAGUCGAUGGGAAACAGGUUAAUAUUCCUGUACUUGGUGUUACUGCGAAGGGGGGACGGAGAAGGCUAUGUUAGCCGGGCGACGGUUGUCCCGGUUUAAGCAUGUAGGCUGGUUAUCCAGGCAAAUCCGGAUAAUCAAGGCUGAGGUGUGAUGACGAGGCACUACGGUGCUGAAGUAACAAAUGCCCUGCUUCCAGGAAAAGCCUCUAAGCAUCAGGUAACAUUAAAUCGUACCCCAAACCGACACAGGUGGUCAGGUAGAGAAUACCAAGGCGCUUGAGAGAACUCGGGUGAAGGAACUAGGCAAAAUGGUGCCGUAACUUCGGGAGAAGGCACGCUGGUGUGUAGGUGAAGUCCCUGCGGAUGGAGCUGAGACCAGUCGAAGAUACCAGCUGGCUGCAACUGUUUAUUAAAAACACAGCACUGUGCAAACACGAAAGUGGACGUAUACGGUGUGACGCCUGCCCGGUGCCGGAAGGUUAAUUGAUGGGGUUAUCCGUAAGGAGAAGCUCUUGAUCGAAGCCCCGGUAAACGGCGGCCGUAACUAUAACGGUCCUAAGGUAGCGAAAUUCCUUGUCGGGUAAGUUCCGACCUGCACGAAUGGCGUAAUGAUGGCCAGGCUGUCUCCACCCGAGACUCAGUGAAAUUGAACUCGCUGUGAAGAUGCAGUGUACCCGCGGCAAGACGGAAAGACCCCGUGAACCUUUACUAUAGCUUGACACUGAACAUUGAGCCUUGAUGUGUAGGAUAGGUGGGAGGCUUUGAAGCGUGGACGCCAGUCUGCGUGGAGCCAACCUUGAAAUACCACCCUUUAAUGUUUGAUGUUCUAACGUUGGCCCCUGACCGGGGUUGCGGACAGUGUCUGGUGGGUAGUUUGACUGGGGCGGUCUCCUCCCAAAGCGUAACGGAGGAGCACGAAGGUUAGCUAAUCCUGGUCGGACAUCAGGAGGUUAGUGCAAUGGCAUAAGCUAGCUUGACUGCGAGCGUGACGGCGCGAGCAGGUGCGAAAGCAGGUCAUAGUGAUCCGGUGGUUCUGAAUGGAAGGGCCAUCGCUCAACGGAUAAAAGGUACUCCGGGGAUAACAGGCUGAUACCGCCCAAGAGUUCAUAUCGACGGCGGUGUUUGGCACCUCGAUGUCGGCUCAUCACAUCCUGGGGCUGAAGUAGGUCCCAAGGGUAUGGCUGUUCGCCAUUUAAAGUGGUACGCGAGCUGGGUUUAGAACGUCGUGAGACAGUUCGGUCCCUAUCUGCCGUGGGCGCUGGAGAAUUGAGGGGGGCUGCUCCUAGUACGAGAGGACCGGAGUGGACGCAUCACUGGUGUUCGGGUUGUCAUGCCAAUGGCACUGCCCGGUAGCUAAAUGCGGAAGAGAUAAGUGCUGAAAGCAUCUAAGCACGAAACUUGCCCCGAGAUGAGUUCUCCCUGAGACUUUAAGUCUCCUGAAGGAACGUUAAAGACGAUGACGUUGAUAGGCCGGGUGUGUAAGCGCAGCGAUGCGUUGAGCUAACCGGUACUAAUGAACCGUGAGGCUUAACCUUACAACGCCGAAG